AAUUCUCAACAUCUUAAGAAUAUACAAAAUCAUCUUUGUUAAUUUUUAGGAUAAAUCAUGGACACAUACAAUAAGAUUGGUAAUAAAAAUUAUCCGACAAGUACAAAAAUAUUCUCUAGAGAAAUAUAUGCAUUAGCUAAGAUUGGCUUUUAGGACACUCAUCUACCAACCUCAACCUUCUACAAUCUUUAUGACCCUGCA
RNAcentral lists this long non-coding RNA (201 nucleotides) under Elaeis guineensis (African oil palm). Its description in RNAcentral is "long non-coding RNA (EGUI_LNC048648)". Lineage: Eukaryota; Viridiplantae; Streptophyta; Magnoliopsida; Arecales; Arecaceae. The record is from RNAcentral.